GGUUCGAUCCUGGCUCAGAUUGAACGCUGGCGGGAUGCUUUACACAUGCAAGUCGAACGGCAGCACGGACUUCGGUCUGGUGGCGAGUGGCGAACGGGUGAGUAAUGUAUCGAACGCUCAGUAGCGGGGAUAACGAUGCGAAAGAGCUGACACCACACACCCUUCGGGGAAAGCGGGGGACCUUCGGGCCUCGCACUAUUAGAGCGGCCGAUAUCGGAUUGAGCCAGUUGCGGGGUAACGGCUCACCAAGGCGACGAUCCGUAGCUGGUUUGAGAGGACGACCAGCCACACUGGGACUGAGACACGGCCCAGACUCCUACGGAGGCAGCAGCGGGAAUUUUUGGACAAUGGGGAAACUCCUGAUCCAGCCAUCCUGCGUGCGAUGAAGGCCUUCGGGUUGUAAAGCACUUUUGGCAGGAAAGAAACGGCACGGGAUAACAUCGCAACUGACGGUACCUGCAGAAUAAGCACCGGCUAACUACGUGCCAGCAGCCGUAAUACGUAGGGUGCAAGCGUUAAUCGGAAUUACUGGGCGUAUGCAGUGGUAUGUCUGGAAAGAAAGAUGAAAUCCCCAGAGCUUGAAUUUGGAACUGCAUUUUUAACUACCGAGCUAGAGUGUGUCAGAGGGAGGUGGAAUUCGGCGUGUAGCAGUGAAAUGCGUAGAUAUGCGGAGGAACACCGAUGGCGAAGGCAGCCUCCCGAUAACACUGACGCUCGCACGAAAGCGGGGAGCGUGCCAGAUUAGAUAAUUCGGUAGUCCACGCCCUAAACGAUGUCAACUAGCUGUUGGGGCCUUCGGGCCUUAGUGAAGUGCAGCUAACGCGUGGUUGACCGCCUGGGGAGUACGGUCGCAAGAUUAAAACUCAAAGGAAUUGACGGGACCCGCACAAGCGGUGGAUGAUGUGGAUUAAUUCGAUGCAACGCGAAAAACCUUACCUACCCUUGACAUGUCUGGAAUCCCGAAGAGAUUUGGGAGUGCUCGCAAGAGAACCGGAACACAGGUGCUGCAUGGCUGUCGUCAGCUCGUGUCGUGAGAUGUUGGGUUAAGUCCCGCAACGAGCGCAACCUUGUCAUUAGUUGCUACGAAAGGGCACUCUAAUGAGACUGCCGGUGACAAACCGAGGAAGGUGGGGAUGACGUCAAGUCCUCAUGGCCCUUAUGGGGGCUUCACACUGUCAUAACAAUGGUCGGGAGCAGAGGGUCGCCAACCCGGCGAGGGGGAGCCAAUCCCAGAAACCUGAUCGAACCGGAUCGCAGUCUGCAACUCGACUGCGUGAAGUCGAUCGCUAGUAAUCGCGGAUCAGCAUGUCGCGGUGAAUACGUUCCCGGGUCUUGUACACACUGCCCGUCACACCAUGGGAGUGGGUUUUACCAGAAGUAGUUAGCCUAACCGUAAGGAGGGCGAUUACCACGGUAGGAUUCAUGACUGGGGUGAAGUCGUAACAAGGUAG
RNAcentral lists this ribosomal RNA (1451 nucleotides) under uncultured Bordetella sp. RNAcentral describes it as "partial 16S-23S ribosomal RNA intergenic spacer". It matches the Rfam family "Bacterial small subunit ribosomal RNA". The record is from RNAcentral. Lineage: Bacteria; Pseudomonadati; Pseudomonadota; Betaproteobacteria; Burkholderiales; Alcaligenaceae.